This 400-nucleotide ribosomal RNA is filed under the name uncultured bacterium. RNAcentral's name for it is "bacterial SSU rRNA". It matches the Rfam family "Bacterial small subunit ribosomal RNA", at positions 355 to 770 of the family's 1533-position model. The record is from RNAcentral.
UCGAGAAUCUUGGGCAAUGCGCGAAAGCGUGACCCAGCAAUGCCGCGUGCAGGAUGAAGGCCUUCGGGUUGUAAACUGCUGUCACCCGGGACGAAGAAUUGACGGUACCGGGAGAGGAAGCCACGGCUAACUACGUGCCAGCAGCCGCGGUAAUACGUAGGUGGCGAGCGUUGUUCGGAUUUAUUGGGCGUAAAGGGUCUGUAGGGGGUUGAUUAAGUCUGAUGUGAAAUCCCGCAGCUCAACUGCGGAACUGCAUUGGAGACUAAUUGACUAGAGUUCUGGAGAGGCAAGCGGAAUUCCAGGUGUAGCGGUGGAAUGCGUAGAUAUCUGGAAGAACACCGAUAGCGAAGGCAGCUUGCUGGACAGUGACUGACCCUGAAAGACGAAAGCGUGGGGAGCA